This 515-nucleotide ribosomal RNA is filed under the name uncultured Marinobacterium sp. RNAcentral's name for it is "partial 16S ribosomal RNA". It matches the Rfam family "Bacterial small subunit ribosomal RNA", at positions 369 to 876 of the family's 1533-position model. The record is from RNAcentral. Lineage: Bacteria; Pseudomonadati; Pseudomonadota; Gammaproteobacteria; Oceanospirillales; Oceanospirillaceae.
CAAUGGGGGCAACCCUGAUCCAGCCAUGCCGCGUGUGUGAAGAAGGCCUUCGGGUUGUAAAGCACUUUCAGAUGUGAGGAAAGGUGAGUAGUUAAUACCUGCUWGCHGUGACGUUAGCAUCAGAAGAAGSACCGGCUAACUCCGUGCCAGCAGCCGCGGUAAUACGGAGGGUGCGAGCGUUAAUCGGAAUUACUGGGCGUAAAGCGCGCGBAGGCGGUUUGUUCAGUCAGAUGUGAAAGCCCCGGGCUCAACCUGGGAASUKCAYUUGAWACUGSWAGACUAGAGUACYRUAGAGGGGAGUGGAAUUUCCGGUGUAGCGGUGAAAUGCGUAGAGAUCKGAAGGAACACCAGUGGCGAAGGCGACUCCCUGGAUUGAUACUGACACUGAKGUGCGAAAGCGUGGGGAGCAAACAGGAUUAGAUACCCUGGUAGUCCACGCCGUAAACGMUGUCUACUAGCCGUUGGGACACUUGAUGUCUUAGUGGCGCAGCUAACGCGSUAAGUWGACCGCCUGG